This 497-nucleotide ribosomal RNA is filed under the name uncultured bacterium. RNAcentral's name for it is "partial 16S ribosomal RNA". It matches the Rfam family "Bacterial small subunit ribosomal RNA", at positions 28 to 507 of the family's 1533-position model. The record is from RNAcentral.
GAUGAACGCUGGCGGCGUGCCUAAUACAUGCAAGUCGAGCGAACAGACGAGGAGCUUGCUCCUCUGACGUUAGCGGCGGACGGGUGAGUAACACGUGGAUAACCUACCUAUAAGACUGGGAUAACUUCGGGAAACCGGAGCUAAUACCGGAUAAUAUAUUGAACCGCAUGGUUCAAUAGUGAAAGACGGUUUUGCUGUCACUUAUAGAUGGAUCCGCGCCGCAUUAGCUAGUUGGUAAGGUAACGGCUUACCAAGGCAACGAUGCGUAGCCGACCUGAGAGGGUGAUAGGCCACACUGGAACUGAGACACGGUCCAGACGCCUACGGGAGGCAGCAGUAGGGAAGCUUCCGCAAUGGGCGAAAGCCUGACGGAGCAACGCCGCGUGAGUGAUGAAGGUCUUCGGAUCGUAAAACUCUGUUAUUAGGGAAGAACAAAUGUGUAAGUAACUAUGCACGUCUUGACGGUACCUAAUCAGAAAGCCACGGCUAACUACGUG